GACGAACGCUGGCGGCGUGCUUAACACAUGCAAGUCGAACGGAAAGGCCCUGCUUUUGUGGGGUGCUCGAGUGGCGAACGGGGGAGUAACACGUGAGUAACAUGCCCUUGACUUUGGGAUAACUUCAGGAAACUGGGGCUAAUACCGGAUAGGAGCUCCUGCUGCAUGGGGGGGGUUGGAAAGUGUCGGCGGUUGGGGAUGGACUCGCGGCUUAUCAGCUUGUUGGGGGGGUAGUGGCUUACCAAGGCUUUGACGGGUAGCCGGCCUGGGAGGGUGACCGGCCACAUUGGGACUGAGAUACGGCCCAGACUCCUACGGGAGGCAGCAGUGGGGAAUCUUGCACAAUGGGCGGAAGCCUGAUGCAGCAACGCCGCGUGCGGGAUGACGGCCUUCGGGUUGUAAACCGCUUUCGCCUGUGCCGAAGCGUGAGUGACGGUAAUGGGUAAAGAAGCACCGGCUAACUACGUG
RNAcentral lists this ribosomal RNA (468 nucleotides) under uncultured bacterium. Its description in RNAcentral is "partial 16S ribosomal RNA". It matches the Rfam family "Bacterial small subunit ribosomal RNA", at positions 28 to 507 of the family's 1533-position model. The record is from RNAcentral.